RNAcentral lists this ribosomal RNA (253 nucleotides) under uncultured bacterium. RNAcentral's name for it is "partial 16S ribosomal RNA". It matches the Rfam family "Bacterial small subunit ribosomal RNA", at positions 524 to 776 of the family's 1533-position model. The record is from RNAcentral.
GACGAACCGUGCGAACGUUGUUCGGAUUCACUGGGCUUAAAGGGCGCGUAGGCGGGUGAUCAAGUCCGGGGUGAAAUCCUUCAGCUCAACUGGAGAAUAGCCUUGGAUACUGGUCGCCUCGAGGGAGGUAGGGGCAUGCGGAACUUCCGGUGGAGCGGUGAAAUGCGUAGAUAUCGGAAGGAACGCCGGUGGCGAAAGCGGCGUGCUGGACCUCUUCUGACGCUGAGGCGCGAAAGCCAGGGGAGCGAACGGG